UACGUAGGGUGCAAGCGUUGUCCGGAAUUAUUGGGCGUAAAGAGCUCGUAGGCGGUUUGUCGCGUCUGCUGUGAAAACUCAGGGCUUAACCCUGAGCCUGCAGUGGGUACGGGCAGACUAGAGGUAGUGGUCAGGGGAGACGGAAUUCCUGGUGUAGCGGUGGAAUGCGCAGAUAUCAGGAGGAACACCGGUGGCGAAGGGCGGUUCUCUGGGCAUUACCUGACGCUGAGGAGCGAAAGUGUGGGGAGCGAACAGG
RNAcentral lists this ribosomal RNA (256 nucleotides) under uncultured bacterium. Its description in RNAcentral is "partial 16S ribosomal RNA". It matches the Rfam family "Bacterial small subunit ribosomal RNA", at positions 524 to 776 of the family's 1533-position model. The record is from RNAcentral.